AUUGAACGCUGGCGGCAUGCUUUACACAUGCAAGUCGAACGAGUGGCGCACGGGUGAGUAAUACAUCGGAACGUGUCCUAUCGUAGGGGAUAACUGAUCGAAAGAUCAGCUAAUACCGCAUACGAUUGGAGCGGCCGAUGCCCGAUUAGCUAGUUGGUGAGGUAAAGGCUCACCAAGGCGACGAUCGGUAGCUGGUCUGAGAGGACGACCAGCCACACUGGGACUGAGACACUGGCCAGCCUCCGACGUGAGGCAGCGGUGGGGAAUUUUGGACAAGGUCAGCAAGCCUGACCCACCCAUGCCGCGUGCAUGAGUAAGGUCUUCGGAUUGUCAGCUACUUUCUUCAGGGAAGCGGUACCUGAGGCAUAAUCACCAGCUAACUACGCGCCAGCAGCCGCGGUAAUAC
This 406-nucleotide ribosomal RNA is filed under the name uncultured bacterium. RNAcentral describes it as "partial 16S ribosomal RNA". It matches the Rfam family "Bacterial small subunit ribosomal RNA", at positions 30 to 526 of the family's 1533-position model. The record is from RNAcentral.